Molecule: ribosomal RNA, 113 nt
Filed under: Acanthosepion pharaonis
Lineage: Eukaryota; Metazoa; Mollusca; Cephalopoda; Sepiida; Sepiidae
Source: RNAcentral
UACAGCCAUAUCAUUUUGAAAUACCGGUCCUCGUACAAUCUCCAAAGUUAAGCAAUGCCAAGACUGGUCAAUAUCUAGAUGGGUGACUGCUUGGGAAUACCAGGUGCUGUAAG